Molecule: ribosomal RNA, 846 nt
Filed under: Bacillus subtilis
Lineage: Bacteria; Bacillati; Bacillota; Bacilli; Caryophanales; Bacillaceae
Description: bacterial SSU rRNA
Rfam family: Bacterial small subunit ribosomal RNA
Source: RNAcentral
CCGCGGUAAUACGUAGGUUGGCAAGCGUUGUCCGGAAUUAUUGGGCGUAAAGGGCUCGCAGGCGGUUUCUUAAGUCUGAUGUGAAAGCCCCCGGCUCAACCGGGGAGGGUCAUUGGAAACUGGGGAACUUGAGUGCAGAAGAGGAGAGUGGAAUUCCACGUGUAGCGGUGAAAUGCGUAGAGAUGUGGAGGAACACCAGUGGCGAAGGCGACUCUCUGGUCUGUAACUGACGCUGAGGAGCGAAAGCGUGGGGAGCGAACAGGAUUAGAUACCCUGGUAGUCCACGCCGUAAACGAUGAGUGCUAAGUGUUAGGGGGUUUCCGCCCCUUAGUGCUGCAGCUAACGCAUUAAGCACUCCGCCUGGGGAGUACGGUCGCAAGACUGAAACUCAAAGGAAUUGACGGGGGCCCGCACAAGCGGUGGAGCAUGUGGUUUAAUUCGAAGCAACGCGAAGAACCUUACCAGGUCUUGACAUCCUCUGACAAUCCUAGAGAUAGGACGUCCCCUUCGGGGGCAGAGUGACAGGUGGUGCAUGGUUGUCGUCAGCUCGUGUCGUGAGAUGUUGGGUUAAGUCCCGCAACGAGCGCAACCCUUGAUCUUAGUUGCCAGCAUUCAGUUGGGCACUCUAAGGUGACUGCCGGUGACAAACCGGAGGAAGGUGGGGAUGACGUCAAAUCAUCAUGCCCCUUAUGACCUGGGCUACACACGUGCUACAAUGGACAGAACAAAGGGCAGCGAAACCGCGAGGUUAAGCCAAUCCCACAAAUCUGUUCUCAGUUCGGAUCGCAGUCUGCAACUCGACUGCGUGAAGCUGGAAUCGCUAGUAAUCGCGGAUCAGCAUGCCGC